ACUGACCAGUUGCAUGACCUUAAAAAAAAUAUAUCACUGUGGCUUGGUUUUGAAAAAGUUAGACUAUAUUUGGUGCAGUCCAAAUGUAUGUUUUUUUAAAAAGCAACAAAAUCCUUUCUUCAAAUAAAAUUGUAUGAGGAACAUCAAUAUGGGGAAAAAUGAAGAAAAGCUUUUCUGAUUAACAUGAGGGAGGGGGCAGAAUAACUUUUUCACCUUCAAGAAUCCCUAAUGAAUGCUGGGAGCAAUAGAGCUCCUGGCAUGCACAAAUGGAAAAUCUUUGGCCUGGAUGAUCUUGGAAGUCUUUUCUAUUUGGUCCAACCAGUCUCCUCCAGGAAAUUUCUAAAUGACAUGAAUUCAUUGGAUAAGUGAUAAAAUCAGAUAUAGAAAUAUGACCAAAUGUGCUAUUACGAAUGAAGAUUGUUAUAUACAUAUAACCUGCUCCGAGAAAGGACUUUGUGAAAGAGGAAAGUCAAGAGCUCAGGGUGAUCUUUGAGCUAACGAGGACGCUAGGUGACACCAAGCCCAAACACUCUCUGAGCAAGUGCCUGGUCCUGAGAGGUGAUCGAGGUCACACGACUAUAAGAUAUAGGCAGGAACUGAAAAAUCACAUCUCCAGACUCAUCACUUGGACUAGCUAUGUCUCAUGAUUUUCACAUAUAUUAUGCAGAAGAAGAGGAAAUGUUCAAAGAGGAUGCUUAGCUCAACUUAUUUUCUUUUUACAAUAAAUAAUAUUCCAUCAUCUGGAUGUACCACAGUUUAUUUAUCCAUUCACCUACUGAAGACCAUCUUGCUUCCAAGUUUUGACAAUAUGAGUAAAGCUGCUGUAAACAUGUGUGUGCAGGUUUUUGUGUAGAUAGAGUGUUCAGUUCAUUUUGGUAAAUACCAAGGAGCACCACUUCUGGGUUAUAUGAGACAGGAUCUCCCUAUAUUACCUAGGCUGGUAUAGAACUCCUGGGCUAAAGUGAUCCACCCACCUCGACCUCAGAAAGUGGCUUAUAAAUUUUGAGGCAACUCAAAUAUAGAUGAUUGUUUUCUCAAAUUUGCUAGCAUCUUUUUAUAAGAUACCUGCUUGGGCGUAACUAUUUGUAUUCAACUGGUAACAGCCUAACUACACUUUUGAUCCUAUGGGAAUAGACAGUCUGGAAUGUGGUGAUACUCUGUAGCUAUCAAAUCUGCAGGGCCUGGCCAUGGACUUGCAUAUCAUUGCUGAGAGAAGUCUCAAUAGCAGCUUAAGUACUAUUGAGGACCUCAAGACGACAAAUUUUCUCCAUCUCUUCUAAGGCUGAAUUGUCAUAUGCAAUGUGCUUUAUGGCUAUGCUGAGAGACGGUGAUAGAAGACUAAUACAUUGCAUCAUCAUCCACUCAGUGAGAAAUGGCUUUUGCAGAUUUGUGCUGAUGGAUCUAAUGUGUGGACUUCUGGAGGCUUUGAGGUGGAUAUACCUCAGUUGUGGAUAAAGAGGUGAAGAAGGACAUCUAUGGUGAUGCUCAGUAAUAUCUGCGAAGAACUGUGGAGACAGACAAAUAGUCAAAGGAGAAUACAGAUAACUUUCAGAGGAAGUGUGAACAUCAAGCUGGGGAGCUUUUUUGAAGAGCAGGAUCUUUCUAUCAAAAUGGGAUAGUGGAAGAUUAAAGUAGUGAUGACUACAUAUAGGAAUACAAAGUUGACAGUGAGAGACACAAGUCUGAUACUGCAAAAGAAAAAUGUAAGAAACUUAGGACUCAACUUUAUCAAUGAGUUUAACUACAGAAAUGCACUAGGGACUGAAUGGUGUCCCCCCAAAAUUUAUAUGUCAAAGCUCUAAUCCUCAAUAUGAUGAUCUCCAGAGAUGGAACUUUAGGGAGGUAAUUGGGUUUAGAUGAGGUUAUGAGGAUGGGGUCCUCAUGAAGGGAUUAGUGCUCUUAUAAGGAAAGGUCAGAGAAUGCUCACUUGUUCGCAUAUGCUCUUGUAUUCUCUCUCUCUCCUCAACCCCCACCAUAAAAGGGCACAACAAGAAGAUGGUUGUCUACGAGGCGGGAAGAGAGCCUUCACAAGGAACCAAAUCAGUGGGCACCCUGAUCAUGAGACUGCCAGCCUCCAGAACUGUGAGAAAUAAAUGUCUGCUGUUGAAGCC
Mandrillus leucophaeus (drill) is the source of this 2111-nucleotide long non-coding RNA. RefSeq lists it as uncharacterized. The record is from RefSeq and is a predicted model, not a curated record. The transcript is spliced from 11 exons. NCBI's taxonomy places the organism in Eukaryota, Metazoa, Chordata, Mammalia, Primates, Cercopithecidae.